RNAcentral lists this long non-coding RNA (176 nucleotides) under Mustela putorius furo (domestic ferret). RNAcentral's name for it is "lncRNA (ENSMPUG00000030558.1)". The record is from RNAcentral. Lineage: Eukaryota; Metazoa; Chordata; Mammalia; Carnivora; Mustelidae.
UUAAAUAGAAUUGGUUUUUUAGAAAAAUUCAUUUGGAAGACUUCAGGAAAAGACAGCAGAGUUGGAGGAUUCUAAGUUCAUCUCAUCCCAUGAUACACCAGGCCUCCAGAGUCUUCCUUUGUACAGAAAUUAACUACUCCAAAUAUUUCCAGAAUAUGAUUAAUAAGUAAGUUAAU